Molecule: ribosomal RNA, 500 nt
Filed under: uncultured bacterium
Lineage: Bacteria
Description: partial 16S ribosomal RNA
Rfam family: Bacterial small subunit ribosomal RNA
Source: RNAcentral
AUUGAACGCUGGCGGCAUGCUUUACACAUGCAAGUCGAACGGCAGCACGGACUUCGGUCUGGUGGCGAGUGGCGAACGGGUGAGUAAUACAUCGGAACGUACCCAGUAAUGGGGGAUAACUAUCCGAAAGGAUAGCUAAUACCGCAUACGCCCUACGGGGGAAAGAGGGGGAUCGCAAGACCUCUUGUUAUUGGAGCGGCCGCUGGCUGAUUAGCUAGUUGGUAGGGUAAAGGCCUACCAAGGCAACGAUCAGUAGCGGGUCUUAGAGGACGAUCCGCCACACUGGAACUGAGACACGGUCCAGACUCCUACGGGAGGCAGCAGUGGGGAAUCUUGGACAAUGGGCGCAAGCCUGAUCCAGCAAUGCCGCGUGCGUGAAGAAGGCCUUCGGGUUGUAAAGCGCUUUUGUCAGGGAGCAAAUCCUUGUGGCUAAUACCCACCGGGGAUGAGAGUACCUGAAGAAUAAGGACCGGCUAACUACGUGCCAGCAGCCGCCGCAG